This 253-nucleotide ribosomal RNA is filed under the name uncultured bacterium. RNAcentral describes it as "partial 16S ribosomal RNA". It matches the Rfam family "Bacterial small subunit ribosomal RNA", at positions 524 to 776 of the family's 1533-position model. The record is from RNAcentral.
UACAGAGGGUGCAAGCGUUGUUCGGAAUUAUUGGGCGUAAAGCGCGCGCAGGCGGUCCUUUAAGUCUGAUGUGAAAGCCCACGGCUCAACCGUGGAGGGUCAUUGGAAACUGGGGGACUUGAGUACAGAAGAGAAGAGUGGAAUUCCACGUGUAGCGGUGAAAUGCGUAGAGAUGUGGAGGAACACCAGUGGCGAAGGCGACUCUUUGGUCUGUAACCGACGCUGAGGCACGAAAGCGUGGGGAGCAAACAGG